This 24-nucleotide non-coding RNA is filed under the name Arabidopsis thaliana (thale cress). Lineage: Eukaryota; Viridiplantae; Streptophyta; Magnoliopsida; Brassicales; Brassicaceae. The record is from RNAcentral.
UGCAUGAACGUUUGUUGUGUCCGA